UACGGGGGGUGCGAGCGUUGUCCGGAAUCACUGGGCGUAAAGGGCGCGUAGGUGGCGUCGUAAGUCUGUGGUGAAAGCCCGGAGCUCAACUCCGGGUCUGCCGCGGAUACUGCGAGGCUUGAGUACAGACGAGGUUGGCGGAAUUGAUUGUGUAGCGGUGAAAUGCAUAGAUACAAUCAAGAACACCGAUUGCGUAGGCAGCUAACUAGGCUGUAACUGACGCUGAGGCACGAAAGCGUGGGGAGCGAACAGG
Molecule: ribosomal RNA, 253 nt
Filed under: uncultured bacterium
Lineage: Bacteria
Description: partial 16S ribosomal RNA
Rfam family: Bacterial small subunit ribosomal RNA
Source: RNAcentral